UCUCCCAAACGCUGCAGAAGGCAAAACGAUAUCGGUUGUACGGCCUUUGAUGGCGGAUGCCGACGGUUUUUCAUACUGGAUCCCGAUUGUGAAUGUUAACAAACCGUCCUGCUGCUGACGAUAAUGUUUACCGUAAUCGUGGGGAUCCCGGCAUUAAGCAGCAUCCUGAAGAGUUGCAGAGCACAAAACCACCUACCGAAAAGUCAAAUGCAUCGCAAUGGAAAUGGUGUGUUGCAGCCGACGAUGCUUACCAGAGCCCUUGUCUGGGAUAGUUAUGCCAGCAUGAAACUGUCUCCAGAACGUAUGCACAGGUGAGCGUGAUGAAACACCAUUCGAAUAGACCUUUGCCUUUGCUGGUGGUAAUGUCGGGUAAGUUAUCUGUUGAU
This is a long non-coding RNA of Armigeres subalbatus, 386 nucleotides long. RefSeq lists it as uncharacterized. The transcript is spliced from 3 exons. NCBI's taxonomy places the organism in Eukaryota, Metazoa, Arthropoda, Insecta, Diptera, Culicidae. The record is from RefSeq and is a predicted model, not a curated record.